CAAUUUAUAAAAGGCAAAACUAAAAAGAUACAAUUUCUCAAACGAAAAUAUAAGUAGUCAAACGCUUAUUUUUUCCCCCAAAUUAGUGAGCGCUGAUAUUAGGGUUUCCCAAAUGCCUUAUAAGAAUUCCUCUGAAGUAAUUGCGGCAAUGUUUUCACUCGCUUUUUACUUCCUUCCAUGUUUAAAGGUAUAUAACUCUUCUACCACAUAUAUACGGGUCCCAGUAGAAGACAGUACCGGUUGAUGUCAGAUCAGGAGUUGAUGAGGCGGCAAUGCUUUAGGUCAUGUUGAACAGCACUGCCUUAUGAGUGCAUUAUCCUCCCUGUGUUUGAAGCAUAACCCAACAGGGAUUAUUCAUUAGGUCUGGUUUGAUGCUUAGGUAGAUUUCUAAGAACCUUUUAUCCAAAUGAAUUUUUUUGUUUUGGUAUGUUUUUAGCUUGUCCACGCUAGACACAAAACAUCAAUAUAAAGUGUCUUAGUUAUGUUGUUUUUGAAUUUCACUGGCUCUAGUAUUCUGUUACUUUAAUAUUUUUUUCCAAAACCACUGCCUUCAUUAUGAAAAGUAGAUUAAUAUCUUAAAUGUUUUUGUAAUUUCCAUGACAAAAGAGUGUUAUAUGAAGAAUAAGAGAAAAUAGGGGAAGAGUGUCAUAAACUCUUAUUACCUCGUAAAUAAGUAUUGUACAACUUAUUACUUCUCUUAGUGUUAGUGUCUAAUUACUGGUCGGUCAAACACUUGUAUGAACUAAGAAGUAGUAGUCGGGGAGUUGAUCAAUCAUAACGACAAAAAUUUGUGGAAACAAAGUUUGGGACUUUGAUCCAAAUGGAAUUUUGUUUGCUUUUACUACUUAAACUAUGAGACAAAAAAUAAAUACAGACAAAAAGUAUAUAUAUUUAUCUUGUCUCCUUAAUUAGUAAUAUGUGAAUUUGUUGUGCAUUUAUAUUAUAUUGAAUAUAAAAUAAUGACGAAGAACAAGAAUGACAUGCAUCUGUUAAUUCAUAUGUAAUAGACCAUAGCACUACAUCAUCACUAAAUCGUAGUUCAUGCAGAAGAUGAUUUUGGUUGCUCUGAAUUAAGAUUAUGGUCAGACAAUUUUUUAUUAUAUUUAUUUUUAAAAAGUUUUAAUGGCUGUAAACGAGAUGAAGCAGUCACUGUUGAUUGUCCAUAUAUGAAUAUUUGGUGUGUGUGUCAAAAGUCCCCACUAGUUUUGGGUGGCAUUACUCUUAUUGAUUCAUAUUAUGCAGUUUGAUGAACAAAAGGAUCGAGUCACACUUUACUGUUCUCAAAAGGUGGUAUUGUUAGACCUUGAACGACCUUCUCUGAUAAGAUUAAGGCAUGUUAUAUUUUUAUUUGUUCAUCGUGCUAGUAUCAAUCUCCAACUGAAGAAAUUUGAAUGACUAAACACACUUGUCAAUAAAAAUUAUCAACUAGACAAAGUUGAGGCUACAACAGAAGCUAACAAGAAAUCUUUAAGCAACACAGGUUCAAAAUUUAUGAGGAAAUGUUUAAAAGUAGAUGAAUGUGUAUGUGUAUCUUCGAUUUGUGUAAAGACGUGGAUCAAUUUUAGUCUUCCUACAUCAGUUGUCUAUGAAUGUAUAUCUAAUUUAUAUCUUGCUCACUAUUCUUCAUGGGAGCGAAUGUGUGAUAGCUUCUUCGACAACAGGUUGAGGGAGUGGAUUCAGUAAAAAAGUAGAGGCAUUUUUGUAAGUGCGUCUUUUGCUAGAAUAGAAAGAAUUAAUAGAAAAUUAAUGCAAGGCAUUUAUGUAAAUGCAUUGCAUGUGUGUGCAUGUGCACUUGCAAUAUUGUGCAUUAUAAUUAAGUCAUUGCCAUAUGAAUAUGGAAGAAACUUAAUUUCAUGUGAUUCACUUGAAGAGAAUACUGCAUUGUGUAUUUGUGUUAAUAAAGUAUUGAUGGUGGUUACAAAGCAAAAGAAACGUUUUCCAGAUCAUUUAAAUCACUAGAAUUUUCUGUUGAUUGUCUAUAGACAAUAGUUGCAUAGGAAGUGUAGAUUCUAUUUCGUGUGAAGGUUGUUGAUGGAGGCAGUUCAGGUUAACAUGCAUGGACGCAAGAGAGUCCCAUCUAUUUAAUUUUGUUCCGAUGUCAUUACUGUAUUUAAAUGGGAAUUCUGAAGUUACUAUCUUGAUUAUAAGUGGUGACAUAAUUAAAUUGCUUCAUUUAUAUGCUGGAACUAUAAAUCUUACAUGAAAGCACUGAUUACUUAUAAGGUUUGUUCAUUUAUGUAUGUAAAAUGGAGAAUUUUAGCUCAUUGAGUGUAAAGGUAUUGUUCCAGUCUAAGUACAUUACCAUGAAAUGUAGCUAGUUUGAGCUUAUAUUAUCUCCUGUAUAUACAUUUCUUUCUUUACAUGUUGACUGAGAACUCCCUUCUAAUUAAAGUGAUGAAUAUGCGGCUUCUUGUGAUGGAAUAAACAAUGUUCAGGCUAAAAUGAAAAUUUCCUCAGCUUUUAUAUUUGGUUCUGUUAUCUGGAGGAUGGUAAGAUCACAUACUUCAUACAAUAAAGAUUAUGGUAUAUUUUGUAUCAGGUCCUAUUAAUAAAGAUUAGUGUAGCAUCAACAUGUACUUUUGAUUGCACGAGAAACGGAAGAAGAGUAAUUUUUCUUUUCCUCAAACUUCUUUUUACUAAAUAGCAAUAUGUUCUUAUACUUUAAUGUUAAACCAAUUGCAAAGCCUUUAGUCUGUGGACAAGUAACAAAAUUUGGGUGAAGAUGCCAUACUUCCUGCCAGUAAAAAUAUCAACCAUCAAAGUACAAAGUGCCGGAUAGAUGAGGACAUAAGAUUCCUAAUGAAUUUCCUUUCAAUUUUCUUAUGUUCUUGCUUAGGUUGUAGGAAAAACAGUGCUAUGCAUGCUCUCUAAAAACUAUUUGUUUCAUCCCCAAGGAACGGUAAAUUUUUGAUUAAGAGUAUGUAAAAAGGUCUUGUGUUGUGGGAUCAUAUUUGAUGUCCAAGUUGAUCGUUUAUAUUUCUAUAGAUAAGUAUUAAGAAUUACUUUUCUCUCUGAUUUAUGUGCCUGAAUUAUGUUGUUUCAUCAUAUGUACUCUUCUUCUGAUUUAUGUGCUUGAGUUAUGUUGUUUCAUCAUGUGCUUAGGCAUGAUUUUUUUAGAGUUGCGGUUAUUUUUGAAAAUUAUGGGUGUUUCUUACUUUCGCGUUUUUGUUGUUAAUAUUGAAUUAUGAUGAGAUUUAGGUGUUCCAGUUGCAUUGUUUGUCAAAAAGAGUGGUGGGUUGGCGUUCUUCAAAGUGUAGUUCUUAUGGAGAAGGGAAUUGUUAUUAUCAGGGUGGUCCUUCUCCAGUGAUACCUCCCCCCACAUAUGUUGCUCCCCUGCCUCGCAAAAACAGAGGAUUUCUUAAGGGAUUUAUUCCUGGGUGAUGCAGUGCUGAAAACUUCAGGAAGAUUAGUUGUAUCAAUCACGAAGGGUCAGUGCAUCCCAAGCCUCUCGAUGAUAUGACCUGAAUAUGCAGGUGAUGAAAUUUGAAUAAUGUUCCCAGGUCAACUCAAUAUAUUCAGGCGAACAAUAUUAGUGUAUUUGAAUUAUUAUUAUAUAUGUUUGGAUACAUUGUGAAAUUUAGCACAAUUGCUAGUACAAGACUUCAAUAUAUGUAGUACAAGACUUCAUUUUUUAAGUUUAUUGUAAAUCUAUAUAUUGAAUUAUAAAUUAGUUAAUUUGAUGUUUGAGAUUAUUUA
Molecule: non-coding RNA, 3696 nt
Organism: Solanum lycopersicum (tomato)
Lineage: Eukaryota; Viridiplantae; Streptophyta; Magnoliopsida; Solanales; Solanaceae
Source: RefSeq, a predicted model, not a curated record